Molecule: ribosomal RNA, 465 nt
Filed under: uncultured bacterium
Lineage: Bacteria
Description: partial 16S ribosomal RNA
Rfam family: Bacterial small subunit ribosomal RNA
Source: RNAcentral
GACGAACGCUGGCGGCGUGCUUAACACAUGCAAGUCGAGCGAGGCCCCUCCUUCGGGAGGGUGUCCUAGCGGCGAACGGGUGAGUAACACGUGGGCAACCUGCCCUCAGCUCUGGGAUAACUCCGGGAAACCGGGGCUAAUACCGGAUACGACCUCCACGGGCAUCUGCGGAGGUGGAAAGUUUUUCGGCUGAGGAUGGGCCCGCGGCCUAUCAGCUAGUUGGUGGGGUAGUGGCCCACCAAGGCGACGACGGGUAGCCGGCCUGAGAGGGCGACCGGCCACACUGGGACUGAGACACGGCCCAGACUCCUACGGGAGGCAGCAGUGGGGAAUAUUGCGCAAUGGGCGAAAGCCUAACGCAGCGACGCCGCGUGAGGGACGAAGGCCUUCGGGUUGUAAACCUCUUUCAGCAGGGACGAAGCGAAAGUGACGGUACCUGCAGAAGAAGCACCGGCCAACUACGUG